AUUUCUCUUGGGUCUUUCUGCAUCAGAUUUUUUUUUUUUUUUACAGGGUGACUUUCUUCUCAGUCUUGUUGGCUCCUUCAUUAUUUGUGAGCCCUUUCUGCAGCAGAACUUGGGAUAUAUCAUUACUUGAGGAAAUGUAAGUUUGCAAAAGAGACGGUUAUGGAACAUAAAGAAGAAAAAAGCAAGAACUUAUUUAUACCGACAGAGAGAAGUUCUCUAAUAGACCUCCUCGCCUCUUCUUCAAAGGAACUUCCCACUCCCAGUAGCCAUGGGGCUCUUCUGAAAAUGAAAUGCAAGAUGAACAAAGCCCUCAGGACAGCAGAGACACACGGACGGCACCGUAUACAGGAGCCCUUGGGACUGCACUGCCAACCAAACGUCAACCUAGCCUUUCGGGCACAUUGCACAGGUAUUGCACAUGUGUUUAUCUGGGAUAUUCCCCGCAGAUGUCUAGGAAGAGAGAAGAUCUCUGUGGCCUCUGCUGUUGCCAUGGCUUAAAAACAUCAUUUCUUAGUGGUGUUGAUGCAUCUGGCAGCUUUACCAGGUAUGUUUUCCCCCCCAACAUUGUAUUUCAUCAUUUUAAAGAAAGUUAGGUUCUAACAGG
This 604-nucleotide long non-coding RNA is filed under the name Struthio camelus australis. Its description in RNAcentral is "lncRNA (ENSSCUG00000003036.1)". The record is from RNAcentral. Lineage: Eukaryota; Metazoa; Chordata; Aves; Struthioniformes; Struthionidae.